GAUGAACGCUGGCGGCGUGCCUAAUACAUGCAAGUCGAACGCUUCACUUCGGUGAAGAGUGGCGAACGGGUGAGUAAUACAUAAGUAACCUGGCAUCUACAGGGGGAUAACUGAUGGAAACGUCAGCUAAGACCGCUUAGGUGUAGAGAUCGCAUGAACUCUAUAUGAAAAGUGCUACGGGACUGGUAGAUGAUGGACUUAUGGCGCAUUAGCUUGUUGGUAGGGUAACGGCCUACCAAGGCGACGAUGCGUAGCCGACCUGAGAGGGUGACCGGCCACACUGGGACUGAGACACGGCCCAGACUCCUACGGGAGGCAGCAGUAGGGAAUUUUCGGCAAUGGGGGAAACCCUGACCGAGCAACGCCGCGUGAAGGAAGAAGUAAUUCGUUAUGUAAACUUCUGUCAUAGAGGAAGAACGGUGGAUAUAGGGAAUGAUAUCCAAGUGACGGUACUCUAUAAGAAAGCCACGGCUAACUACGUG
RNAcentral lists this ribosomal RNA (482 nucleotides) under uncultured bacterium. Its description in RNAcentral is "partial 16S ribosomal RNA". It matches the Rfam family "Bacterial small subunit ribosomal RNA", at positions 28 to 507 of the family's 1533-position model. The record is from RNAcentral.